UCGCCAAUAAAACACCCAUUUUUGAGACUUUGUCUCAAGAGGUUUGUUCCUUACACAAUCUUCUGAUCCCUUUUUAAUUGUUAGCGACUACCCGCGCGAAACAACUUGAAUUUGGAUUAAUUUGGACAAAGAUCUUUCAGGAGACUAUGUCAAUUACUUCAUUUUCAAGGAGACAACAUGACAAUCAUUUAACCCAUGAUUGCCGUCAGAACUUUAUAUACAGAAAUACAGAGCUGUUUUUCAAAUGCGAUGGCUGCAAGAUGAAUGGGUUCGGAGAAAGGUACACGUGCAAUCUCUGUCGUAGUAGAUUCCACAUGGAGUGUGCACACCCCAUACCCUCCAUUUCCCAUGAGAAUUUUCCUGGCUCCAUCUUCAAAUUUUAUAGCGAACCAUUUACAGUAUGGGAUAUUAAAAAGAAUUGCAAAAAGUUCUCGAAGUUGUGCUAUGCAUGUGGAAAGGAAAUAUGCGGUUUUAACUACCAUUGUGGAGCAGACAGUUUGGAUUUACAUUCCAUGUUGUCGAAAACUUGAAAAUAAACUAAUAAUUGAUGAUAUGAUAUUUGAUCUUGUGACUAAGAUUUCAUCGAAGUGUGUUAAGUGCGGAAAGCGGAAGAUUUCUUGUGAUGAGAGAACUGUCCGAGGCUGGUCUUAUGUUUCCCAGUGCAAAAAGUAUCAUCUUCAUUUGUAUUGUUUAACUGAUAUAAUACAAGAGGCGUAUAUGAAGCGGGAGAACCUUACAUUGAAUGAUAUAGAUUCAAUAGAAUUAGUUACGCGUUACAGAAACGGAAAUGGUGAAAAUACAUUCGUUACAUGUGCCAAAUUGGUUAUCAAGAUUCUAGUGUCUGCUCUUUUGGGCGAUGUUACUACGCUAUUUUCCGGUGCCAUGGUGGAGUUGUUCUUCAGCCACUUGCGAUCAUAGUGUCUUUUUCUUCUUCUACUUUCAAUGCGGAUGACAUAAAUAAAUGUUUUUUUUUUUUUUUGGUUCUCAUGAAUCAAUUCAUUUGUCCAAUCAUGAGACAAUUGUGUGUGAACGAUGGUUAUUGCAAUGAACAUUUUAAUUUGAAUAAUCUUAUAGAGGAAGCAUUAUAAUAGACCAUUAGUAUAUUGUCCCCCUCCCCCACAUCCUUGACUCGGCACGUGGAUAUUAGUCAUGUCCCCGCUUAAUUGUUA
This 1169-nucleotide long non-coding RNA is filed under the name Olea europaea subsp. europaea. Lineage: Eukaryota; Viridiplantae; Streptophyta; Magnoliopsida; Lamiales; Oleaceae. The record is from RNAcentral.